AAAACCGCUUCUCGUACUAUCACCAAUGUUAAACAACGUUGGGCCUGGUCAGUACUUAGAUGGGUGACCGCUUGGCAAUAUCAGGUGAUGG
Molecule: non-coding RNA, 91 nt
Organism: Acanthosepion pharaonis
Lineage: Eukaryota; Metazoa; Mollusca; Cephalopoda; Sepiida; Sepiidae
Source: the annotation of a GenBank genome assembly